This 484-nucleotide ribosomal RNA is filed under the name uncultured bacterium. Its description in RNAcentral is "partial 16S ribosomal RNA". It matches the Rfam family "Bacterial small subunit ribosomal RNA", at positions 28 to 523 of the family's 1533-position model. The record is from RNAcentral.
GACGAACGCUGGCGGCGUGCUUAACACAUGCAAGUCGAACGAUGAAGCCGGAGCUUGCUCUGGUGAAUUAGUGGCGAACGGGUGAGUAACACGUGAGUAACCUGCCCUUGACUCUGGGAUAACUGCUAGAAAUGGUAGCUAAUACCGGAUACGACCCUCGGAGGCAUCUCCAGGGGGUGGAAAGAAUUUCGGUCAAGGAUGGGCUCGCGGCCUAUCAGCUAGUUGGUGAGGUAACGGCUCACCAAGGCGACGGCGGGUAGCCGGCCUGGGAGGGUGACCGGCCACACUGGGACUGAGACACGGCCCAGACUCCUACGGGAGGCAGCAGUGGGGAAUAUUGCACAAUGGGCGCAAGCCUGAUGCAGCAACGCCGCGUGAGGGAUGACGGCCUUCGGGUUGUAAACCUCUUUUAGUAGGGAAGAAGCGAAAGUGACGGUACCUGCAGAAAAAGCACCGGCUAACUACGUGCCAGCCGCCGCGGUAA